Molecule: ribosomal RNA, 315 nt
Filed under: uncultured bacterium
Lineage: Bacteria
Description: bacterial SSU rRNA
Rfam family: Bacterial small subunit ribosomal RNA
Source: RNAcentral
GGUAUCAUCAUUAAAGAUUUAUCGGUGUACGAUGGGGAUGCGUUCCAUUAGGUAGUAGGCGGGGUAACGGCCCACCUAGCCUGCGAUGGAUAGGGGUUCUGAGAGGAAGGUCCCCCACAUUGGAACUGAGACACGGUCCAAACUCCUACGGGAGGCAGCAGUGAGGAAUAUUGGUCAAUGGGCGAGAGCCUGAACCAGCCAAGUAGCGUGAAGGAUGAAGGUCCUACGGAUUGUAAACUUCUUUAUACGGGAAUAAAGCUUCCUACGUGUAGGAUUUUGUAUGUACCGUAUGAAUAAGCAUCGGCUAACUCCGUG